Molecule: long non-coding RNA, 555 nt
Organism: Salvia miltiorrhiza (redroot sage)
Lineage: Eukaryota; Viridiplantae; Streptophyta; Magnoliopsida; Lamiales; Lamiaceae
Exons: 3
Source: RefSeq, a predicted model, not a curated record
UAAGGAAUUAUAUUGUCCAAAUUAUUUUAAUUCUUGUUAGGGCAGCCGCCAAACAAGACUUAUGAGAAAAGCCAAAUAUUUUCUUCUUCCCCUGCAAGUCUCGGUCCCUUCCUCUGUUCUUCAUUUUGAGUUUUUCUCUUUCUAGCCAAGCUCCAAGAAUCACUCCAAAAAUCACACCUAUAUUCAUCCAGAAACGUAUAUUAAGGUUCGAGUGGCAGUGUAGAAUGAACAAGCAAAGACUUUUAUUUCAUUAAGCGUAUCAGGUUAAGCUGUGGUGCAGAUGGAAGCGAGCAGAGCAAAUUCUUUGAUGUAUAUGUAUUAAACCAGGCUCAGGAUUCCAUGUCCUCAUACAUGUAAUCCACAUGAAUUAUUCCGCUGCAACACUUAGUCUAUUCUACCUUAUCGAUGUGUUGUAUAUAUUUUAAAUCAAUAGCUUUGAGAAUUAUGUCACUUGAAAGUUAGACAACUUGUCGUUGUGUAUUGCAAGUUGUUUACUCAUGAGUUUUAAAAGUGAUUGCUUAUGAUUAUCCAAUAUUAAAGUAAUUCAUCGUUAAA